UCUAGCCCCAAACAAAACAGGUUGAGCUUUUUCCUCCCCUCAGCAGCUCCUCUCUGGCUCGUGGCUGCCUUCUGAGUGUUGCAGACGGCGCCGGCCGGGAAGGGGGGCCUGGGCCAGCCCUGCCAGGACUGGGACGCUGCUGCUGGCGCCUGGCCCUCCAUCAGGCCAGCCUGUGGCAGGAGAGCGAGCUUUGCCGCGGCAGACGCCUGAGGAUGAUGCCCCAGCUGCAGUUCAAAGAUGCCUUUUGGUGCAGGGACUUCACAGCCCACACGGGCUACGAGGUGCUGCUGCAGCGACUUCUGGAUGGCAGGAAGAUGUGCAAAGACAUGGAGGAGCUACUGAGGCAGAGGGCCCAGGCAGAGGAGCGGUACGGGAAGGAGCUGGUGCAGAUCGCACGAAAGGCAGGCGGCCAGACUGAGAUCAACUGGCGGACAGUGGUGUCUUUGACGAGAGGGGAGCCCUGGAAGAGGAGAGGUUUGCAGGGCAGGUGCUGAGUCCGGUUUUGGACACGCUGAAUUUGAGCUCCCUGAGGGCCUCCUUUGACUCCUUGAAGCAGC
This 557-nucleotide small RNA is filed under the name Pongo abelii (Sumatran orangutan). RNAcentral describes it as "processed transcript". Lineage: Eukaryota; Metazoa; Chordata; Mammalia; Primates; Hominidae. The record is from RNAcentral.